RNA transcript from Manis pentadactyla (Chinese pangolin), 4866 nucleotides. It is a transcript of the gene named PRELI domain containing 2, with no coding region annotated. The transcript is spliced from 8 exons. The record is from RefSeq and is a predicted model, not a curated record. NCBI's taxonomy places the organism in Eukaryota, Metazoa, Chordata, Mammalia, Pholidota, Manidae.
CCGGCUGUCCGUCCCUCCGGGCGGACAAUAAAGUUCGGCAAGUUUGACGAGGAGGAGAGAGCGCCGCGCGCGCCGCGGGCCGCCCGGGAGUGGACGCCGGCGGGGGCGCGGGGAUGGGGGUCACCGUGGACGUGCGCCAGCUGUACAAGUACCCCUUCGAGCAGGUGGUGGCCAGCUUCCUCCGGAAGUAUCCCAACCCCAUGGAUAAAAAUGUCAUCUCUGUAAAAACUGUGGAAGAAAAAAGGGAUGUGUCAACAGGCAUCAUCUAUAGAAAGAGGAUCGCAGUCUGUCAGAAUGUGGUUCCAGAAAUUUUAAGGAAGGUGAGCAUUUUAAAGGUACCUAGUAUCCAGUUAGAAGAGGAAUCGUGGCUUGAUCCCCAGGAAAGGAACAUGGCUAUACGGAGUCACUGCCUUACGUGGACACAAUAUGCAUCCAUGAAGGAAGAGUCUGUCUUCCGGGAAAGUGUGGAAAACCCGAAUUGGACAGAGUUCAUUCAAAGAGGCAGGAUUUCAAUCACCGGGGCCGGCUUUCUCAACUACAUUUUGGAAACUUUCGCCAGCACGUUCUUAAGACAGGGUGCCCAGAAGCCGCUCUCCUGGCAAGGCCCCAUUGCUAGUUCCAUCAUUACUCUUACUGUGUUGAUGGGGAGGCUGGAGCAGAGAGAGAUGGAAUUCAACAGCAUGUGAAAUAUUUGUCAGAGAAACAAUGUGGGGAAUUAGGAUAAUGGAGAUGCUGCUAAAGGAACGGUGUGGUGCCCCCUUAGCAGAAUAAAGAAUCCUCAGGGAGCCGCGUUGUGUCUUCUUGUGCUUGAGAAUCACUUGUCAGCCACAACACGUCAUAGACGCAGCUUUCGAAAUACAGACUAAAGGAUACAAUGUUGGCAGCUUCACGAAGAAGAGGCCUUCCUGCCGAGACAUGGAAUGAUCCACUCCCCUGGGAUCCUGCCUCAGAAGUGGCGCUCGUGGAGACGAGAUAUUCUAGCUGGAUUUUUAUGGCACAGUCUCUUAAUGAUUUUACAAAUAAAGCAAAAAAUCCCAUAGAAGGUGAUAUCCACCCUUCUUCUGGGUGCCUUGCCGAUUGCCUGAUGGUGGUGUCAGGGCACCCAAGGAUAGGCUGGCGGCCUGGGGGGUGAUGCUUGUGCCCUCAUGUUAUCAGCAUCAUUACUCGCAGGGUUCAUGAGAGGCUUCUGGGAUAAAUAAAGGAGUUGACCCUGACACCUGAAUUGUAGGUGGUUUGGAACAGACAGGAGUGUACCAGACCUGUGUUGAGGCUAAGACAUAUUUAUGGUAAUGUGUAAGAUUCUCAGAGAUCAGGAGCAUCUGAUUUCUACCCGUAAGUACUACACACCUGCCAUUAGUAUAUCGCUUUUAUAAUGUAACAUGUGAGCCGUGUGAUUUGGUCCUCUGAGAGAACAUGAGAUGAAGAAAGGCAGGUGAUCACCUGGGCUCCUACUAACUUGUUCUGUGAUGGGGAACAAGUCCUUCUUCACCACUCUGUUCCCUGGGCAAACGGGGAUCACGUGCACGGAUGUUUCUAUCUGUGGAUCGUGAUGAUUAAAUAAGGUAGUUUUGUGUGAAAAGACAGACUGGGGAGUCUGAGACACAGACCCUGUUUGAAUCCACACACCGACACUCACUAGAUCAAUGAUCAUGUACAUAAUUUUAAAUCUUGCUGAAGCUCAUUUAAAAAAAUUUAUAAGUGGGGUUAUGGAUUAACUUUGUGAGGUUGUUGGACCGAUUUGAGACCAUGUCUAUCCAGUGCCUAGCAUCUUACCUGUUGCAUAGUAGAAGUCCAGCAGAGGCUGAUUUUAUUAUGUGAAAUCAUUUUGAAAAUGUACUUUCCAAAUGUAAUGCAAGGUAUGUUACUGUUUGAAAAUGAGAUGACAGUAGUUUCCAUUUCUCAUGAUUGGGAGUCAAAAUAUAAAUGCAUACUACCUAGCAGGAAGCUCGAAGAGAGACAAUAAUUUGGAAUUCAUCUUCUUAAGAUAGAAGUUGGGCCAUUAUUGGAAAGUCUUGAGGAAAUUGUUCUUUUUUUUUAUAUUUGAAAAGUUUUCCUUUUAGUGCAUUGAUGAAUUUCAAAGCAAUUGUAUUUUUUUCAUACAAGCCUGCCACUGUGAACCUCUUCUUAUUGUAUUUGAGCAAUUUGUGCUGCCUGAGUUUUGUCUCUUAGGAUAAUUUUUCCUCAUUUUCUUUGUGUUUCAUUCUUUAGUUGUGAUGGGGGGAAAAUGAACGGUAGAAACCAGGUCACAUAUUGACCUCCCUUUCCAGUUUGUAAAUGGCAUUCUGUAGCCUUAUGGAAUAAUAGCCCAUUUCCAAAAAUAAGAGGUGAUACAAAUGAUCAUGGAGGGGAGAGAUAAGAAAUUUGUUUGAAUGUUGACAUGGAGAAACUUAACCCUUCCUACCCAACAACCUGCACCCUCCGAAGGCAGGAGUUCUCAGCCUUGGCUGUCAUCGGAACUGCCUGGGGAAUUUCAUGCACUCCUGGUGCCCAGAUUGUACCCCAGGCCAAUGAAUCAGAAUCUCUGGAGACAGAACGCAGGCAUCUGUAUUUUUAAAAUCUUUCUGGGUGAUUCCGUUGGGCAGCUAGGGAUGAGAAUACUACAGUGAAUUAUAGCAUUCUGACAUCUGAUUUUUUUUGUCAAAAUGCCUCAGGUGGAAAGAACUUUGUAAGAAAGUUUUCCUUAGAAAGAGUAAAGCACAGAGAGGCUGAAUUUUUGUCACAAUUCCUUGAAGCAGGGAUGUUCAAGGCAAGCGCUUUCAUGGGUCCGGCAGGCGAUCUGAUGAGCCAAGUGGGCUGGCGGCCCCAGGGGCGCCCCGGGAGCACACACCCGGCUGGAGGUGGGCAGGUGCUCCCUGGCUUCUGCAUGGUGCUGCUGUGUGGCUGGUUUUUCUAGUUCUUCCAAUUUCCAGUUUUCCAGAUACAGAGAGAAUUCUUUUCUCUUUUUUAAUUUUUUUUAUUUUGGUAUCAUUAAUCUACAACAGAGAGAAUUCUUAAAAAAAAAAAUCUCCCAAUUCUUACAUGUUGGAGUGAAUUCACAACACACAAUUAAAACACUGUGCGGCCAAAACAAAAAUGUUGCCAGUAGUUCGCAGCCUCUGGGAAGGACCAGCCUGCACAUCCCGGCCCACGUGGAACAGAUUUGCAUUUUCCUCUUCUGGAAGCGAGCUGCAUUCUGCCUCCUCCAGGGCUGCUUUUAGAUGUCCACCCCCCCCCCCCAACUCCCAGGCAGUCCUCUGGACUUGGGUCAGAUGCUCGUGCUCCCUCCUCAUUUUUACCCCCUUGUCAGACACCCAGGACUUCAAGCUUCACAUACGUGGUUUAGAAAGCUUACAUUCUUUUUAAGAUUAACUGAGGCUUGUUAGGGUUUAUUUUUAUGACGUACCAGAAUCCCUUUUCUGUGAUUAAAACAUUUAGAGGCCCACAUUUAACUUCACUAUUUAGAUUCCAGUAUAAGAGACGUCAAACCAGGAGCAUAUCCUUGACCAGGUAUAUUAGGAACAAGUGGGGGACAGGGUUGACCCCCCAGACCUGGCCAGUCUCUCUCCGACUCAUCUGCUGAGGCUGUACUUCAAGGUGAUGAUUUACUGUAGUGAUUCCCGGACCCAGCUUGUGCCAGAAAUCCUUGGGUGGGUGUGCCAAAUGGCAGGUUCCUGGAGCUGCCCCCAGAGAUUCUGGUUUGUGAAAUUUUAGUUGGGACUCAGGGAAUAGUACUUUAAAAAACAAGUCCACCAGGAGAUUAGGGUGUGCUGUUCCACAGACCAUACUUUUAGAAACACUGUUUUAGGGCGGGUGUUUUUGGCCUCUGAGUCUCCUACCAUAUAAGAUUUUUGUGUUUUUGCAAAAUCAGUACAGUUAAUCACUCAGGACACAAAAUAAAGUUCUCAAGCAGAGAGAAGCUGACUUAAGCUAUCCCUGCUCGAUUGUGGUGCUUUUAUUACUGCGAGGGGUUUUUAUGUUUGCGAUCACAGGUGGAUAAAAAAGGUGCUAUAUUCUUUUUAUAUAAAUUGCUUUGUGUAUUUUAUAAGCAGUCUGUGUAUAAUAAUGUCCCAUUUAUCAGACACUGUGAGAUGCAUGGUAUAGAUAAACUCAAGGUUACUCUUUUUUGUUUCAUUUCAACCAUUUGCAUGCAACUCUUAAUUCGGUAAACCUGUCCCUGCUUUUGCAAGCAGGAUCUACUGAAGAUAAUGAAAUCUUUUCAGGGUUGUCAUGUAUGUUUUUAAUUCUUUCAGGUCUUACUAGGUUUGUUAAAGCCGCUAUACUGAAUGGCUCCAUUCAUUGAGUUCCUAGCAGUUUUGAUAGUUUUUCUUGUCUCCUCACUGUUGUCUGUUCGUUUCUCUCUGAUAUUACUCUGCCUGCCUCUAGGAACUUCCCUCUCAUGGGCUGCAAGGGGUGGGAAAUUUUGAAUGUUGACAUUGGGAUAAACGUACAUGUAAUUGCAUAGUCUACGUCAAAUCACAGUGAGCAGGAUCUGAGGGAGGGUUUGAGAGGCUUCUUUAGCUCUAAAAUGAAUGAAUGUUGCUCUGUUAACUUGGUGACUUUAUUUUUGUGGUUCUACUUCCUCUAAUUUUACUCCCUGAUCCUCAGCCACAAUUGUUACUAGGUCUGGGACUUCAGGAUAAAUGAGAUGUUGCUACAAAUGAUUUCUUUUCAACUAUAAGCCAUUGUCCUCCCCAGUCGUGUUGGUGUUUUUACAGUCCUAAAAUGUGAAACAUAAAUAGAUUCAAAUUCAAGUGGACAUUUUUCAGGCCAAGUGUGCAGGAUAAAGUGUUUUGAUUCAGUGUUCCUGUGAUUUAGAGCCAUAAAUUAGUUGUAUACUGAUGAAAUUCAAUCCUGCAGUCAUUCUGAAAUAAAGGUGUUACAACAAUA